AGUGAACGCUGGCGGUAGGCCUAACACAUGCAAGUCGAACGGCAGCACAGUAAGCGCUUGCUCUUACGGGUGGCGAGUGGCGGACGGGUGAGGAAUACAUCGGAAUCUACUUUUUCGUGGGGGAUAACGUAGGGAAACUUACGCUAAUACCGCAUACGACCUACGGCUGAAAGCAGGGGAUCUUCGGACCUUGCGCGAUUGAAUGAGCCGAUGUCGGAUUAGCUAGUUGGCGGGGUAAAGGCCCACCAAGGCGACGAUCCGUAGCUGGUCUGAGAGGAUGAUCAGCCACACUGGAACUGAGACACGGUCCAGACUCCUACGGGAGGCAGCAGUGGGGAAUAUUGGACAAUGGGCGCAAGCCUGAUCCAGCCAUACCGCGUGGGUGAAGAAGGCCUUCGGGUUGUAAAGCCCUUUUGUUGGGAAAGAAAAGCAGCAGGUUAAUACCCCGCUGUUCUGACGGUACCCAAAGAAUAAGCACCGGCUAACUUCGUG
This 492-nucleotide ribosomal RNA is filed under the name uncultured bacterium. RNAcentral's name for it is "partial 16S ribosomal RNA". It matches the Rfam family "Bacterial small subunit ribosomal RNA", at positions 29 to 507 of the family's 1533-position model. The record is from RNAcentral.